UUGGUGAUGAGGGAGAGG
RNAcentral lists this microRNA (18 nucleotides) under Corchorus olitorius. Its description in RNAcentral is "oan-miR-13". Lineage: Eukaryota; Viridiplantae; Streptophyta; Magnoliopsida; Malvales; Malvaceae. The record is from RNAcentral.